GCCAUCUUCAUCCACUCAACAAGGCAAGAAUAUGAUCUUUUCUUUUAUUUAUUAUUUUUUGUAAACACAUUAAUAAUGGAUGUUGGAAGAUUGUUCACUUGGAAAGUUACUGCCAGUGUCAUAUGACAUUCAGUUCAGAAUUUGUUGGUGCCAUAUAGUUUUUGAAAUUGCUUCAUCAUAACCAGUCUUUUACUUCAAAACAUAGCUUGCACUGCACGAUUCAUUUUACAUUUACUAUUGAUUCCAAAUGUUUCAUGUAAGUGAUGCUUUAUUUAUUUAUUUUAAAGGUUAAAGACCGAUUGAAGGA
RNAcentral lists this unclassified non-coding RNA (307 nucleotides) under Hevea brasiliensis (rubber tree). Lineage: Eukaryota; Viridiplantae; Streptophyta; Magnoliopsida; Malpighiales; Euphorbiaceae. The record is from RNAcentral.